GAUGAACGCUGGCGGCGUGCCUAAUACAUGCAAGUCGAGCGAACGGACGAGAAGCUUGCUUCUCUGAUGUUAGCGGCGGACGGGUGAGUAACACGUGGAUAACCUACCUAUAAGACUGGGAUAACUUCGGGAAACCGGAGCUAAUACCGGAUAAUAUUUUGAACCGCAUGGUUCAAAAGUGAAAGACGGUCUUGCUGUCACUUAUAGAUGGAUCCGCGCUGCAUUAGCUAGUUGGUAAGGUAACGGCUUACCAAGGCAACGAUGCAUAGCCGACCUGCGAGGGUGAUCGGCCACACUGUAACUGAGACACGGUCCAGACUCCUACGGUGGGCAGCAGUAGGGAAUCUUCCGCAAUGGGCGAAAGCCUGACGGAGCAACGCCGCGUGAGUGAUGUAGGUCUUCGGAUCGUAAAACUCUGUUAUUAGGGAAGAACAUAUGUGUAAGUAACUGUGCACAUCUUGACGGUACCUAAUCAGAAAGCCACGGCUAACUACGUG
Molecule: ribosomal RNA, 497 nt
Filed under: uncultured bacterium
Lineage: Bacteria
Description: partial 16S ribosomal RNA
Rfam family: Bacterial small subunit ribosomal RNA
Source: RNAcentral